RNAcentral lists this ribosomal RNA (408 nucleotides) under uncultured Methylomirabilota bacterium. RNAcentral describes it as "bacterial SSU rRNA". It matches the Rfam family "Bacterial small subunit ribosomal RNA", at positions 1027 to 1434 of the family's 1533-position model. The record is from RNAcentral. Lineage: Bacteria; Methylomirabilota (SeqCode).
CGUGGAGACAGGUGGUGCAUGGCUGUCAUCAGCUCGUGUCGUGAGAUGUUGGGUUAAGUCCCGCAACGAGCGCAACCCUCACCCCUAGUUGCCACCGGGUAAAGCCGAGCACUCGAGGGGAACUGCCAGCGUCAAGCUGGAGGAAGGCGGGGAUGACGUCAAGUCAUCAUGCCCCUUACGUCCUGGGCUACACACGUGCUACGAUGGCUAGUACAGAGGGAUGCGAGACCGCGAGGUGGAGCUAAUCCCAAAAAGCUGGUCUAAGUUCAGAUUGCAGUCUGCAACUCGACUGCAUGAAGUAGGAAUCGCUAGUAAUCGCGCAUCAGCACGGCGCGGUGAAUACGUUCCCGGGCCUUGUACACACCGCCCGUCACACCACGAAAGCUGGCUGUACUCGAAGUCGCUGAG